UGGCGGACGGGUGAGUAACGCGUGGGUAAUCUGCCUCAUACAGGGGGAUAACAGUUAGAAAUGACUGCUAAUACCGCAUAAGACCACAGCACCGCAUGGUGCAGGGGUAAAAACUCCGGUGGUAUGAGAUGGACCCGCGUCUGAUUAGGUAGUUGGUGGGGUAACGGCCUACCAAGCCGACGAUCAGUAGCCGACCUGAGAGGGUGACCGGCCACAUUGGGACUGAGACACGGCCCAA
RNAcentral lists this ribosomal RNA (238 nucleotides) under uncultured bacterium. RNAcentral's name for it is "partial 16S ribosomal RNA". It matches the Rfam family "Bacterial small subunit ribosomal RNA", at positions 96 to 334 of the family's 1533-position model. The record is from RNAcentral.